GACGAACGCUGGCGGCGUGCUUAACACAUGCAAGUCGAGCGGUAAGGCCCUUUCGGGGGUACACGAGCGGCGAACGGGUGAGUAACACGUGGGUGACCUGCCCUCAGCUCUGGGAUAAGCCUGGGAAACCGGGUCUAAUACCGGAUAUGACUCCAUGACGCAUGUUGUGGGGUGGAAAGCCUUGUGCGGCUGAGGAUGGGCCCGCGGCCUAUCAGCUUGUUGGUGGGGUGAUGGCCUACCAAGGCGACGACGGGUAGCCGGCCUGAGAGGCGACCGGCCACACUGGGACUGAGACACGGCCCAGACUCCUACGGGAGGCAGCAGUGGGGAAUCUUGCGCAAUGGGCGAAAGCCUGACGCAGCGACGCCGCGUGAGGGAUGACGGCCUGGUGUAA
This 394-nucleotide ribosomal RNA is filed under the name uncultured bacterium. RNAcentral describes it as "bacterial SSU rRNA". It matches the Rfam family "Bacterial small subunit ribosomal RNA", at positions 28 to 428 of the family's 1533-position model. The record is from RNAcentral.